This 331-nucleotide long non-coding RNA is filed under the name Parus major (Great Tit). RNAcentral's name for it is "lncRNA (ENSPMJG00000013109.1)". The record is from RNAcentral. Lineage: Eukaryota; Metazoa; Chordata; Aves; Passeriformes; Paridae.
CUGGGAUUGGUCCCUGUGCCAUUCCUGAACCAGGAACGCAGAAGGCAGCAGUGCAGUACCAGGUGAACAGUGUCAGGUUGUUCUGAGGACCGUGCAUGCUGAGAAAUACUGCAGAAGGAAUGGAGUGUGUUUUAUGAAAUGUCUCUAUCAUAUGGACUCUUUGAUGGCUAUAAAGAAAGCAAACUCAUAACUUUCCACACAGGAAGAAAGGAUGAUAAAUUCCCAUCUCUUCUGGCUCUCAUUUUGCCCUUUAGAAGAUGUGGUUACAAAAGACUGAGUCUACUCAGUUCCCAUGUGGCUGUGUGUGUGGAACCACCUGUUGAAAAGAGAA